Saccostrea echinata is the source of this 705-nucleotide long non-coding RNA. RefSeq lists it as uncharacterized. NCBI's taxonomy places the organism in Eukaryota, Metazoa, Mollusca, Bivalvia, Ostreida, Ostreidae. The transcript has 5 exons. The record is from RefSeq and is a predicted model, not a curated record.
AGUUGUUUUAUGAAAAAUUGCAAUAAGAGAAAGAGACAGACGUACAGAGAGAGAGAGGGAGAAAGACAGACAAACGGACAGAGAGAGAUGUCCACAUGAGAAUUUCUGUACCGAGAUUAAGAGAAUUACAAACACACUUUUGACUGGUUAUCUGCGGUGAUCGAGUGCAGUAGUAUCCUGUUGAAAUAAAAGACAGCUCAGAGUCUUGACGUUGUGGAAGGCGAUUAAAAACGAAGUGUUUGAUUAAGAUUUUUUGUGAAGUAUGCAUACCAAUAAUAAUAACAUCUAAAAUGAACAGGUCUUUUUGUGUGCUAACCACUAUCUGCCUGGUUCUAUUUACGAUUUCAAAUGCGCUAUUCAUCAAAAAGAGUAUGUUUGACGACACUCCACAAAGAACACUAGAGUAUUUUUCAAAAAGAGGAUGGUGCUUCAACAUGACUCCAGACUGUUCCCUUAUGAUCGGCCCGGGGGAGAAGAUGUUACUGUGUAGUAUGCCAUAUUACCGACGUGUUUGUUGUCGGUUUUGUAGGGAAAGCUGACAAAUGUGACUGCCGUUAGAAUGAACACAAGAAAAUCAAGGAUGGCAUUUCACCGCAGAGAAAUAUAUACUAAACUUUAUAUUAUUAUAUAAAAUUCACACAAAACAAACCCUUGUAUUUCUUUAGUUUUAUUGUGAAACUGUAACAAAUAAACCUUACACAACCA